CUGCUGCCUCCCGUAGGAGUCUGGGCCGUGUCUCAGUCCCAAUGUGGCCGAUCAACCUCUCAGUCCGGCUACCGAUCGUCGCCUUGGUGGGCCGUUGCCCCACCAACUAGCUAAUCGGCCGCGAGCCCAUCUUUCAGCGGAUUGCUCCUUUGGCUGCAUCGGGAUGCCCCAUCGCAGCGUUAUGCGGUAUUAGCAGUCGUUUCCAACUGUUAUCCCCCUCUGAAAGGCAGGUUGCUCACGUGUUA
RNAcentral lists this ribosomal RNA (245 nucleotides) under uncultured bacterium. Its description in RNAcentral is "partial 16S ribosomal RNA". The record is from RNAcentral.